CCUACGGGAGGCAGCAGUGAGGAAUAUUGGUCAAUGGACGAGAGUCUGAACCAGCCAAGUAGCGUGAAUGAUGACUGCCCUAUGGGUUGUAAACUUCUUUUAUAUGGGAAUAAAAUGUUCCACGUGUGGGAUUUUGUAUGUACCAUAUGAAUAAGGAUCGGCUAACUCCGUGCCAGCAGCCGCGGUAAUACGGAGGAUCCGAGCGUUAUCCGGUUUGAUUGGGUUUAAAGGGAGCGUAGGUGGAUUGGUAAGUCAGUUGUGAAAGUUUGCGGCUCAACCGUAAAAUUGCAGUUGAAACUGGCAGUCUUGAGUACAGUAGAGGUGGGCGGAAUUCGUGGUGUAGCGGUGAAAUGCUUAGAUAUCACGAAGAACUCCGAUUGCGAAGGCAGCUCACUGGACUGCAGCUGACACUGAGGCUCGAAAGUGUGGGUAUCAAACAGGAUUAGAUACCCUUGUAGUC
This 460-nucleotide ribosomal RNA is filed under the name uncultured bacterium. RNAcentral's name for it is "partial 16S ribosomal RNA". It matches the Rfam family "Bacterial small subunit ribosomal RNA", at positions 338 to 795 of the family's 1533-position model. The record is from RNAcentral.